CAAUAGCGUAUAUUAAAGUUGUUGCGGUUAAAAAGUUCGUAGUUGGAUUUCUGCUGAGAACGACCGGUCCGCCCUCUGGGUGUGUAUCUGGCUCUUUCUUGGCAUCUUCUUGGUGAACGUUGCUGCACUUGACUGUGUGGAGCGCUACCCAGGACUUUUACUUUGAGGAAAUUAGAGUGUUUCAAGCAGGCAUGCGCCUUGAAUACAUUAGCAUGGAAUAAUAAGAUAGGACCUCGGUUCUAUUUUGUUGGUUUCUAGAGCUGAGGUAAUGAUUAAUAGGGAUAGUUGGGGGCAUUCGUAUUUAACUGUCAGAGGCGAAAUUCUUGGAUUUGUUAAAGACGGACUACUGCGAAAGCAUUUGCCAAGGAUGUUUUCAUUG
This 379-nucleotide ribosomal RNA is filed under the name uncultured eukaryote. RNAcentral describes it as "partial 18S ribosomal RNA". It matches the Rfam family "Eukaryotic small subunit ribosomal RNA", at positions 592 to 975 of the family's 1831-position model. The record is from RNAcentral.